RNAcentral lists this ribosomal RNA (498 nucleotides) under uncultured bacterium. Its description in RNAcentral is "partial 16S ribosomal RNA". It matches the Rfam family "Bacterial small subunit ribosomal RNA", at positions 29 to 523 of the family's 1533-position model. The record is from RNAcentral.
AUUGAACGCUGGCGGCAUGCCUUACACAUGCACGUCGAACGGCAGCACGGGGCAACCUGGUGGCGAGUGGCGAACGGGUGAGUAAUGCAUCGGAACGUACCUUUCAGUGGGGGAUAACGUAGCGAAAGUUACGCUAAUACCGCAUAUUCUGUGAGCAGGAAAGCAGGGGAUCGCAAGACCUUGCGCUGAUUGAGCGGCCGAUGUCAGAUUAGCGAGUUGGUGAGGUAAAGGCUCACCAAGGCGACGAUCUGUAGCGGGUCUGAGAGGUUGAUCCGCCACACUGGAACUGAGACACGGGCCAGACUCCUACGGGAGGCAGCAGUGGGGAAGUUUGGACAAUGGGGGCAACCCUGAUCCAGCCAUGCCGCGUGAGUGAAGAAGGCCUUCGGGUUGUAAAGCUCUUUCGGCCGGGAAGAAAUCGCACGGGCUAAUACCCUGUGUGGAUGACGGUACCGGAAUAAGAAGCACCGGCUAACUACGUGCCAGCAGCCGCGGUAA